This 380-nucleotide ribosomal RNA is filed under the name uncultured eukaryote. RNAcentral's name for it is "partial 18S ribosomal RNA". It matches the Rfam family "Eukaryotic small subunit ribosomal RNA", at positions 592 to 976 of the family's 1831-position model. The record is from RNAcentral.
CAAUAGCGUAUAUUAAAGUUGUUGCAGUUAGAACGCUCGUAGUCGGAUUUCGGGGCGGGCCGACCGGUCUGCCGAUGGGUAUGCACUGGUCGGCGCGUCCUUCCUUCCGGAGACCGUCCCUACUCUUAACUGAGCGGGGGCGGGAGACGGGACUUUUACUUUGAAAAAAUCAGAGUGUUUCAAGCAGGCAGCUCGCUCUUGCAUGGAUUAGCAUGGGAUAAUGAAAUAGGACUUUGGCGCUAUUUUGUUGGUUUCGAACACCGAAGUAAUGAUGAGAAGGGACAGUCAGGGGCACUCGUAUUCCGCCGAGAGAGGUGAAAUUCUCAGACCAGCGGAAGACGAACCACUGCGAAAGCAUUUGCCAGGGAUGUUUUCACUGA